GACGAACGCUGGCGGCGUGCUUAACACAUGCAAGUCGAACGGAAAGGCCCUGCUUUUGUUGGGUGCUCGAGUGGCGAGCGGGUGAGUAACACGUGAGUAACCUGCCCUUGACUUUGGGAUAACUUCAGGAAACUGGGGCUAAUACCGGAUAGGAGCUCCUGCUGCAUGGUGGGGGUUGGAAAGUUUCGGCGGUUGGGGAUGGACUCGCGGCUUAUCAGCUUGUUGGUGGGGUAGUGGCUUACCAAGGCUUUGACGGGUAGCCGGCCUGAGAGGGUGACCGGCCACAUUGGGACUGAGAUACGGCCCAGACUCCUACGGGAGGCAGCAGUGGGGAAUAUUGCACAAUGGGCGGAAGCCUGAUGCAGCAACGCCGCGUGCGGGAUGACGGCCUUCGGGUUGUAAACCGCUUUCGCCUGUGACGAAGCGUGAGUGACGGUAAUGGGUAAAGAAGCACCGGCUAACUACGUG
This 468-nucleotide ribosomal RNA is filed under the name uncultured bacterium. Its description in RNAcentral is "partial 16S ribosomal RNA". It matches the Rfam family "Bacterial small subunit ribosomal RNA", at positions 28 to 507 of the family's 1533-position model. The record is from RNAcentral.